GAGAUGAUGGUAAAAAAAAACAGGAAAAGAAACGGGACUGUAGGUAUUAGAGGUAUCACCCGCUCAGCUCUGAUUUUGGUUAGCGACAGAGGAAGAAUAACAACAAAUAAGUUCUUCAUGGGUCAGUGUGGGUGUUUGUGUAAGCUUUAGGAGAUGAGAUUAGCUCCUUUUUUUUCGCAAAAAAAAAAGAGAUUAGCUCCUUUUCUUCAUAUUCUUUUAAUUUAUUUUUAUUCCAGAGAUUUUUCUUCUAAAUUCAGCUACUAGUAGUUCCCAAGAAGGGUGGCAAAAACAAAUUGUAAGCAAUGCGUAUUCCUCCACCUGAUUUUUUUUUGCCACCCAAUCCUAAUGUGCGUGUUUUGCUCCGCCACAAAAAGUUGCUUAAACUUUGGACGAAAAUCGUAAAUGAAC
RNAcentral lists this long non-coding RNA (408 nucleotides) under Triticum aestivum (bread wheat). RNAcentral describes it as "long non-coding RNA (TAES_LNC007249)". Lineage: Eukaryota; Viridiplantae; Streptophyta; Magnoliopsida; Poales; Poaceae. The record is from RNAcentral.